Long non-coding RNA from Myodes glareolus (Bank vole), 1090 nucleotides. RefSeq lists it as uncharacterized. NCBI's taxonomy places the organism in Eukaryota, Metazoa, Chordata, Mammalia, Rodentia, Cricetidae. The record is from RefSeq and is a predicted model, not a curated record.
AGGGCAGGAUGGUUUUAGUAAACAGACAAGUGACAAUAAGAUGGAUGAAGGAAGAGAAGAAGAGCUGAGGGAGGCUGCUCUUUGACGCUUCACCUUGGUGUGAUGAAUAAAAGAGAAAGAAUGGACUCUUUUUCAGUACCUGGAGAUCUACAAGAAGGUUGAGAGACAAUGUCCUCCAUGAUUUUUCAGGCAAUUGAUAACAUCGCUCAACCGGAGCUGCUGGGAGCUGCUUCGUUUUGGGUGUUUGAUGCUAUCAGCUGUACCAGGGAAAUCCAAGCCACCAGUGGAUGCUCAAAUCUGAGUCGAACAAAGACCAAAGAGGCAGAGAGCAGACUUCCUGCAGCCCUUCUGAGGCCCAACUGAAGACAUUUCUGUGAUAAAGAUGACAGAAAGCAGCAGCAAACCUCGGCUUCCCUGGGGAAAGUCCGCCCCAGAGCUAGGGAAAGCAUCCAGUGUUCUUUUCAUGGGAAAAUACGUCUUUGUUCAGAGAAGGAGGUGAGUAAAUGAAGCCUUCUGCAACCCUGGGAGCCAAGGAUCAGCAACCACUGGCUGCCCCGUAGCCCAGAUAGGACAAAGUGAGGAAAAUAAACAAUUUCCUCUUGUGAUGUUUGGGAAAAUAGAAUUUGACACUAGGUCCCGGAGAGUAAUAAAGUAUAACCGUACAUAGGUUUUAAUCUAUGCCAUUUUCUAGGAAAUUGGACAAAAGUAUUUCUUCCAAGUAUAAUCAGAAGUGUUGUUUCCUACCUGUUUUUAUUUACCUUGUUUAAGAGAUAUUGGACACUAGCUAGUCUCUGGGCUGUAAAUGGCUGCAGGGAGAGUGAAGGGCUCUUUGUCUUCCCACAUUGUUUUAAAUAUUGCAUUAAUGUUGAUCUAGGUGGAAGACAUAACUUUACAUUGAUUACAAUGUAAAUGAGAUUAUAAGUGCAUGCAUAAGAAUUUUUGGACAGUCCUUGUUGGGAAGGGAGCCCCAGAUUCACUGCCAUGACCUACAUGCCACCGACUGCAGUGAAAUCAACCUAAUGAUAUGGGAAUGUCUUUCUGUAUAUGUGCUGUUUUUACUGGUUAAUGAAUAAAGCUGUCUUGGCCAAUG